GCCUUCGUGGUGUAGUGGUCAGCACGCUGGGCGCGUAUUCCAGAGGUCCGUGGUUCGAGUCCCGGCGAAGGCG
Stegodyphus mimosarum is the source of this 73-nucleotide non-coding RNA. The record is from Rfam. Lineage: Eukaryota; Metazoa; Arthropoda; Arachnida; Araneae; Eresidae.